CCAAUGGGGGAAACCAUUGCAUUUCAGGAGUUCUACCAUCUAUGAAUGCAAGUUUUGCCUGCUUUUGAAUUUUAUACAGAGUCUGACUCUGUUGCCUACGCUAGAGUACAAUGGUACCAUCUCAGCUCACUGCGACUUCAACCCCACCAGGUUCAAGCAAUUCUCCUGUCUCAGCCUCCUGAGUAGCUGGGAUUACAGGUGACUGCCACCACACCCGGCUAAUUUUUGUAUUUUUAGUAGAGACAGGGAUUUGCCAUGUUGGCC
RNAcentral lists this long non-coding RNA (264 nucleotides) under Callithrix jacchus (white-tufted-ear marmoset). Its description in RNAcentral is "lncRNA (ENSCJAG00000081366.1)". The record is from RNAcentral. Lineage: Eukaryota; Metazoa; Chordata; Mammalia; Primates; Cebidae.